AGGGAAGAAGAAAGGGAGAAGAGAGAGGGGGCAUGGUGGGCUUCUAAGGGAGGCGUGGGCUACUGAAAAUCAGAUCUAAGGAGCCUUAAGGAAGGUCCCUUUAAAUAGGUAUAAGGUUUAAAUCCUAUUCAAAAUCAAACAACUACUUAAUGCAAGUCCUACUUGCAUUAGGAAUCCUUAUUUUUUUAGUUGUUUGACCCCCUUUAGGAGAUCCUU
This 216-nucleotide long non-coding RNA is filed under the name Elaeis guineensis (African oil palm). RNAcentral's name for it is "long non-coding RNA (EGUI_LNC074355)". Lineage: Eukaryota; Viridiplantae; Streptophyta; Magnoliopsida; Arecales; Arecaceae. The record is from RNAcentral.